GUGCAUAUGUCCUCUAAGAUUUUUUAUUUAUUUUUUUUUUUUGUUGUGGUUGCAAGCUUUAGGGUUUCUGUUCUUCUAACUGCUGGAGUAUGUCCGAGGUUUCUCUGCUAUGUAGACGAAUGCGGAUAUGUGUGUGUGUGUGUGUGUGUGUGUGGCUGGCAUGGUCUUUUCUCUCUCAUCUCCAUCUGGUCUCCAUUAGGACUGGGAGUAUAAAACUACCGCACUAAGAGAGAGCUCCACAGAGCCGACAGACUCUUAACAAACUAACCCCAACACACUCUUGCAGCUAUGGCCAUGGUGCUGUGGGUCUAUCUGCUGUGUCUGCAGGGAUGUCUUCUCACAUAUGCUCUGGACUGCACGGGCAGAAGGGUGGACUGUGCCGACACACAGGUUACAGAGGUAAAGGUUAAAGAUGAGCCCUUAUCUUCUCAGGUGAGGGCUCGAAGACAAGCUCAAAUCACUCCGCGGCCUGGAUCUUACUCAGUCAAAGGAUCUCCUAACACACUCAUCCAGACCGACAGGUCGAGGCGACAUUUGAACGCUAGUAAAAAAAAGCCCCACAGAUCUCGUAUCGGCUCUUACUCAUUACUUUCCCAUAACCACGCAACCAACCAACUACAGGUUGUAAGUGUUCAUAGACAGUUUGAGGGUGCAUCCCAUCCCAAAGUGGCUGCAUUAAAGUCUGUGAAGAAGAGAUCCAGAAGAAAUUCACCAAAGAAAGAAGAAUGCAAGGAAUAACACAUGCUCCUGGGAGGUUCUUUGAAGCACUUACUGAAGCUGUACUUCCUGUUAAUGUUCUAGCUCAUCUGAGGCAAUGUACUUGUAAAAGUGCUGUGAGAUCACAGAUUCUGUGCAGAUAAUGUGAUCACAAUUAAUGACAAUAACUGGACAGUCCCACAUUUAAAUUUCUCAAAUACACAAAAAUGACUUCAAUAUAAACGUAUAUACAGCAUACUAAGCUUUGAAACCUGCAUAAUACCCAUUUAGAAGAAAGUUUAUAGUUUAAUUAUCUUUUGCUAAUACAAUUCUGAACAAUGUUGAACUAAGUUAUUUACAUCUCUAUACACUGCUUGCC
This 1075-nucleotide long non-coding RNA is filed under the name Sinocyclocheilus anshuiensis. RNAcentral describes it as "lncRNA (ENSSANG00000036653.1)". The record is from RNAcentral. Lineage: Eukaryota; Metazoa; Chordata; Actinopteri; Cypriniformes; Cyprinidae.